CAGUAGCCGCGGGAAUACGGAGGAUGCGAGCGUUAUUCGGAAUCAUUGGGUUUAAAGGGUCUGUAGGCGGGCUAUUAAGUCAGGGGUGAAAGGUUUCAGCUUAACUGAGAAAUUGCCUUUGAUACUGGUAGUCUUGAAUAUCUGUGAAGUUCUUGGAAUGUGUAGUGUAGCGGUGAAAUGCUUAGAUAUUACACAGAACACCGAUUGCGAAGGCAGGGGACUAACAGACAAUUGACGCUGAGAGACGAAAGCGUGGGAAGCGAACAGGAUUAGAUACCCCUGUAGUCCCUGUCUCUUAUAC
This 301-nucleotide ribosomal RNA is filed under the name uncultured bacterium. RNAcentral describes it as "partial 16S ribosomal RNA". It matches the Rfam family "Bacterial small subunit ribosomal RNA", at positions 509 to 807 of the family's 1533-position model. The record is from RNAcentral.